AUUGAACGCUGGCGGCAUGCCUUACACAUGCAAGUCGAACGGCAGCACGGGUGCUUGCACCUGGUGGCGAGUGGCGAACGGGUGAGUAAUACAUCGGAACAUGUCCUGUAGUGGGGGAUAGCCCGGCGAAAGCCGGAUUAAUACCGCAUACGAUCUACGGAUGAAAGCGGGGGACCUUCGGGCCUCGCGCUAUCGGGUUGGCCGAUGGCUGAUUAGCUAGUUGGUGGGGUAAAGGCCUACCAAGGCGACGAUCAGUAGCUGGUCUGAGAGGACGACCAGCCACACUGGGACUGAGACACGGCCCAGACUCCUACGGGAGGCAGUAGUGGGGAAUUUUGGACAAUGGGCGAAAGCCUGAUCCAGCAAUGCCGCGUGUGUGAAGAAGGCCUUCGGGUUGUAAAGCACUUUUGUCCGGAAAGAAAUCCUUGGCCCUAAUACGGUCGGGGGAUGACGGUACCGGAAGAAUAAGCACCGGCUAACUACGUG
This 486-nucleotide ribosomal RNA is filed under the name uncultured bacterium. RNAcentral describes it as "partial 16S ribosomal RNA". It matches the Rfam family "Bacterial small subunit ribosomal RNA", at positions 30 to 507 of the family's 1533-position model. The record is from RNAcentral.